Molecule: ribosomal RNA, 497 nt
Filed under: uncultured bacterium
Lineage: Bacteria
Description: partial 16S ribosomal RNA
Rfam family: Bacterial small subunit ribosomal RNA
Source: RNAcentral
GACGAACGCUGGCGGCGUGCCUAAUACAUGCAAGUAGAACGCUGAAGAGAGGAGCUUACUCUUCUUGGAUGAGUUGCGAACGGGUGAGUAACGCGUAGGUAACCUGCCUUGUAGCGGGGGUUAACUAUUGGAAACGAUAGCUAAUACCGCAUAACAUGGGAUGACACAUGUAAUUUAUUUGAAAGGGGCAAUUGCUCCACUACAAGAUGGACUUGCGUUGUAUUAGCUAGUAGGUGAGGUAAUGGCUCACCUAGGCGACGAUACAUAGCCGACCUGAGAGGGUGAUCGGCCACACUGGGACUGAGACACGGCCCAGACUCCUACGGGAGGCAGCAGUAGGGAAUCUUCGGCAAUGGGGGCAACCCUGACCGAGCAACGCCGCGUGAGUGAAGAAGGUUUUCGGAUCGUAAAGCUCUGUUGUAAGUCAAGAACGGGUGUGAGAGUGGAAAGUUCACACUGUGACGGUAGCUUACCAGAAAGGGACGGCUAACUACGUG